GACGAACGCUGGCGGCGUGCUUAACACAUGCAAGUCGAACGGAAAGGCCCUGCUUUUGUGGGGUGCUCGAGUGGCGAACGGGUGAGUAACACGUGAGUAACCUGCCCUUGACUUUGGGAUAACUUCAGGAAACUGGGGCUAAUACCGGAUAGGAGCUCCUGCUGCAUGGUGGGGGUUGGAAAGUUUCGGCGGUUGGGGAUGGACUCGCGGCUUAUCAGCUUGUUGGUGGGGUAGUGGCUUACCAAGGCUUUGACGGGUAGCCGGCCUGAGAGGGUGACCGGCCACAUUGGGACUGAGAUACGGCCCAGACUCCUACGGGAGGCAGCAGUGGGGAAUAUUGCACAAUGGGCGGAAGCCUGAUGCAGCAACGCCGCGUGCGGGAUAACGGCCUUCGGGUUGUAAACCGCUUUCGCCUGUGACGAAGCGUGAGUGACGGUAAUGGGUAGAGAAGCACCGGCUAACUACGUG
RNAcentral lists this ribosomal RNA (468 nucleotides) under uncultured bacterium. RNAcentral's name for it is "partial 16S ribosomal RNA". It matches the Rfam family "Bacterial small subunit ribosomal RNA", at positions 28 to 507 of the family's 1533-position model. The record is from RNAcentral.